GACGAACGCUGGCGGCGUGCCUAAUACAUGCAAGUAGAACGCUGAAGAGAGGAGCUUGCUCUUCUUGGAUGAGUUGCGAACGGGUGAGUAACGCGUAGGUAACCUGCCUUGUAGCGGGGGAUAACUAUUGGAAACGAUAGCUAAUACCGCAUAACAAUGGAUGACCCAUGUCAUUUAUUUGAAAGGGGCAAAUGCUCCACUACAAGAUAGACCUGCGUUGUAUUAGCUAGUAGGUGAGGUAACGGCUCACCUAGGCGACGAUACAUAGCCGACCUGAGAGGGUGAUCGGCCACACUGGGACUGAGACACGGCCCAGACUCCUACGGGAGGCAGCAGUAGGGAAUCUUCGGCAAUGGGGGCAACCCUGACCGAGCAACGCCGCGUGAGUGAAGAAGGUUUUCGGAUCGUAAAGCUCUGUUGUAAGUCAAGAACGAGUGUGAGAGUGGAAAGUUCACACUGUGACGGUAGCUUACCAGAAAGGGACGGCUAACUACGUG
This 497-nucleotide ribosomal RNA is filed under the name uncultured bacterium. RNAcentral describes it as "partial 16S ribosomal RNA". It matches the Rfam family "Bacterial small subunit ribosomal RNA", at positions 28 to 507 of the family's 1533-position model. The record is from RNAcentral.